UAGGGAAUCUUCCACAAUGGACGCAAGUCUGAUGGAGCAACGCCGCGUGAGUGAAGAAGGUCUUCGGGAUCGUAAAACUCUGUUGUUAGAGAAGAACACGAGUGAGAGUAACUGUUCAUUCGAUGACGGUAUCUAACCAGCAAGUCACGGCUAACUACGUGGCAG
Molecule: ribosomal RNA, 165 nt
Filed under: uncultured bacterium
Lineage: Bacteria
Description: partial 16S rRNA
Rfam family: Bacterial small subunit ribosomal RNA
Source: RNAcentral